AGGACGAACGCUGGCGGCGUGCUUAACACAUGCAAGUCGAACGGUGACCCAGGGCUUGCCCUGGUGAUCAGUGGCGAACGGGUGAGUAACACGUGGGCAACCUGCCCCAGACUCUGGGAUAACUCCGGGAAACCGGGGCUAAUACCGGAUACGAAUCGAGUUGGCAUCUUCUCGAUUGGAAAGUUUUUCGGUCUGGGAUGGGCCCGCGGCCUAUCAGCUUGUUGGUGGGGUAAUGGCCUACCAAGGCGACGACGGGUAGCCGGCCUGAGAGGGCGACCGGCCACACUGGGACUGAGACACGGCCCAGACUCCUACGGGAGGCAGCAGUGGGGAAUAUUGCGCAAUGGGCGAAAGCCUGACGCAGCGACGCCGCGUGAGGGACGACGGCCUUCGGGUUGUAAACCGUCUUUCAGCAGGGAUGAAGCGAAAGUGACAGUACCUGCAGAAGAAGCACCGGCUAACUACGCGCCAGUAGCCGC
RNAcentral lists this ribosomal RNA (479 nucleotides) under uncultured bacterium. Its description in RNAcentral is "SSU rRNA". It matches the Rfam family "Bacterial small subunit ribosomal RNA", at positions 26 to 518 of the family's 1533-position model. The record is from RNAcentral.